This 74-nucleotide transfer RNA is filed under the name Actinomycetes bacterium. RNAcentral describes it as "tRNA-Cys". It matches the Rfam family "tRNA". From Rfam's summary of the family: Transfer RNA (tRNA) molecules are approximately 80 nucleotides in length. Their secondary structure includes four short double-helical elements and three loops (D, anti-codon, and T loops). Further hydrogen bonds mediate the characteristic L-shaped molecular structure. tRNAs have two regions of fundamental functional importance: the anti-codon, which is responsible for specific mRNA codon recognition, and the 3' end, to which the tRNAs corresponding amino acid is attached (by aminoacyl-tRNA synthetases). tRNAs cope with the degeneracy of the genetic code in two manners: having more than one tRNA (with a specific anti-codon) for a particular amino acid; and 'wobble' base-pairing, i.e. permitting non-standard base-pairing at the 3rd anti-codon position. Lineage: Bacteria; Bacillati; Actinomycetota; Actinomycetes. RNAcentral also lists the same sequence under 7 other names. The record is from RNAcentral.
GGCGACGUCGCCAAGUGGCAAGGCAGAGGCCUGCAAAGCCUUUAUCCCCGGUUCGAAUCCGGGCGUCGCCUCCA